Molecule: ribosomal RNA, 468 nt
Filed under: uncultured bacterium
Lineage: Bacteria
Description: partial 16S ribosomal RNA
Rfam family: Bacterial small subunit ribosomal RNA
Source: RNAcentral
GACGAACGCUGACGGCGUGCUUAACACAUGCAAGUCGAACGGAAAGGCCCUGCUUUUGUGGGGUGCUCGAGUGGCGAACGGGUGAGUAACACGUGAGUAACCUGCCCUUGACUUUGGGAUAACUUCAGGAAACUGGGGCUAAUACCGGCUAGGAGCUCCUGCUGCAUGGUGGGGGUUGGAAAGUUUCGGCGGUUGGGGAUGGACUCGCGGCUUAUCAGCUUGUUGGUGGGGUAGUGGCUUACCAAGGCUUUGACGGGUAGCCGGCCUGAGAGGGGGACCGGCGACAUUGGGACUGAGGGACGGACCAGACGCCUACGGUAGGCAGCAGGGGGGAAUAUUGCACAAUGAGCGGAAGCCUGAUGCAGCAACGCCGCGUGCGGGAUGACGGCCUUCGGGUGGUAAACCGCUUUCGCCUGUGACGAAGCGUGAGUGACGGUAAUGGGUGAAGAAGCACCGGCUAACUACGUG